Molecule: ribosomal RNA, 499 nt
Filed under: uncultured bacterium
Lineage: Bacteria
Description: partial 16S ribosomal RNA
Rfam family: Bacterial small subunit ribosomal RNA
Source: RNAcentral
GACGAACGCUGGCGGCGUGCCUAAUACAUGCAAGUCGAGCGAAGUUUUUCUGGUGCUUGCACUAGAAAAACUUAGCGGCGAACGGGUGAGUAACACGUAAAGAACCUGCCUCAUAGACUGGGACAACUAUUGGAAACGAUAGCUAAUACCGGAUAACAGUAUUUCUCGCAUGAGAGAUAUUUAAAAGUUGGUUAUGCUAACACUAUGAGAUGGCUUUGCGGUGCAUUAGCUAGUUGGUGGGGUAAAGGCCCACCAAGGCGACGAUGCAUAGCCGACCUGAGAGGGUGAUCGGCCACACUGGGACUGAGACACGGCCCAGACUCCUACGGGAGGCAGCAGUAGGGAAUCUUCCGCAAUGGGCGAAAGCCUGACGGAGCAACGCCGCGUGAGUGAAGAAGGAUUUCGGUUCAUAAAGCUCUGUUGUUAGGGAAGAAUGGAUAUGUAGUAACUAUACAUGUAAGAGACGGUACCUAACCAGAAAGCCACGGCUAACUACGUG